RNAcentral lists this unclassified non-coding RNA (699 nucleotides) under Hevea brasiliensis (rubber tree). The record is from RNAcentral. Lineage: Eukaryota; Viridiplantae; Streptophyta; Magnoliopsida; Malpighiales; Euphorbiaceae.
AUGCCCUUUAACUCCACUAGAGGUAAUCCAAAUAUUCUCUUUCUCUUGUUGGUUUUGAUGAAUAGAAUUUUUCAUCUUUAUAAUGCUCAGUUCAGGCUUUGUUGUAGGAUGCAUGCAACAAUCCUAGUAAAGUUACACUCUUUAGAAAAUCAAUGGCAACUUGUGAAAGUAUUGGCUUCUGUAAUGCUAAAGAUGCGUUGUAAAGAUUUGCGUGAUGGUCUAGAAAUCAAUGUUAUUGGAUGAAGUUCAUCUGAUUCUGUUACCUUUGCUUAGUGAAUAUAAUACCUAAAUUUUGGCAAUCUAAGAGUUCAUUAUAAAUGAAAGCUGUAAUGUUCCCUGCACAUGCACAGCACCGAAAAAAGGGAAAGAACCAUGGUGUGCCUGAGCAAUGAAGAAAUAGGACUCCUGAUGUAAUGAACGUCAGCCAUUUGAGUAAGAUUUUUGGUAGUCAUUCCAUUUUUUUCACUUGUGAAAUUUCUCAGCUAUAGCGUACAUGGAAGAUCAUGACUUCCUUCUUGUAUUGACUUGAUUGUAUUGUUUUUUGAAUUACAAGCUCCUGUAUACUUGGUGUGAAGAAACAACAUUAGAAUUUUGGUUCUAUUUCUCUUCUUCUUGAUAAAAACAAGAAGUGAAAAUUCUAGCCUAUGCAACACUGAUCUCUGUGGUUGGUUUUGCAGGUGGGAAUGAUGCUUAGGGGCA